GACGAACGCUGGCGGCGUGCUUAACACAUGCAAGUCGAGCGGAAAGGCCCUGCUUUUGUGGGGUGCUCGAGUGGCGAACGGGUGAGUAACACGUGAGUAACCUGCCCUUGACUUUGGGAUAACUUCAGGAAACUGGGGCUAAUACCGGAUAGGAGCUCCUGCUGCAUGGUGGGGGUUGGAAAGUUUCGGCGGUUGGGGAUGGACUCGCGGCUUAUCAGCUUGUUGGUGGGGUAGUGGCUUACCAAGGCUUUGACGGGUAGCCGGCCUGAGAGGGUGACCGGCCACAUUGGGACUGAGAUACGGCCCAGACUCCUACGGGAGGCAGCAGUGGGGAAUAUUACACAAUGGGCGGAAGCCUGAUGCAGCAACGCCGCGUGCGGGAUGACGGCCUUCGGGUUGUAAACCGCUUUCGCCUGUGACGAAGCGUGAGUGACGGUAAUGGGUAAAGAAGCACCGGCUAACUACGUG
This 468-nucleotide ribosomal RNA is filed under the name uncultured bacterium. Its description in RNAcentral is "partial 16S ribosomal RNA". It matches the Rfam family "Bacterial small subunit ribosomal RNA", at positions 28 to 507 of the family's 1533-position model. The record is from RNAcentral.